RNAcentral lists this ribosomal RNA (468 nucleotides) under uncultured bacterium. RNAcentral's name for it is "partial 16S ribosomal RNA". It matches the Rfam family "Bacterial small subunit ribosomal RNA", at positions 28 to 507 of the family's 1533-position model. The record is from RNAcentral.
GACGAACGCUGGCGGCGUGCUUAACACAUGCAAGUCGAACGGAAAGGCCCUGCUUUUUUGUGGUGCUCGAGUCGCGAACGGGUGAGUAACCCGUGAGUCUCCUUCCCUUUACUUUGUGAUAUCUUCAGACAACUGCUGCUAAUACCUGAUACGUGCUCCUGCUGCAUGGUGGUGGUUGGAACUUUUAGGCUGAUGGGGAUGGACUGGCGGGUUAUGAGCUUGUUGGUGGGGUAGUGGCUUAGCAAGGCUUCGAAGGGUAGGCGGCCUGAGAGGGGGAACAGGGACAAGAGGACUGAGAGACGGCCCAGACUCGUACGGGAGGCAGUAGGGGAGAAUAUUGCACAAUGGGCGGAAGCGUGAUGCAGAGAUGUCGCGAGUGUGAUGAAGGCCAUGGGGUGGGAAAGCGCAGUAGGCUGAGACGAAGCGGGAGUGACGGUAAUGGGUAAAGAAGCACCGGCUAACUACGUG